UCAAGCUAAUAAGAGCACAGGGUGGAUGCCCAGGCACCAAACGCCGACGAAAGACGUGGCAAGCUGCGAAAAGUCACGGGGAACCGCAAGCAGGUAUUGAUCCGUGAACGUCUGAAUGGGGAAACCCGGCGGGUUAACAGCCCGUCACUAUUAACUGAAUCAAUAGGUUAAUAGGGGGAACGCGGGGAACUGAAACAUCUCAGUACCCGUAGGAAGAGAAAAUAAAGAAUGAUUUCCUAAGUAGCGGCGAGCGAACGGGAAAGAGGCCAAACCGAAGGGCUUGCUCUUCGGGGUUGUGGAUCAGCAAAAAGGACGGAAGACCUUAGCAGAAGAGGAUUGGAAAGUCCCGCCAGAGAGGGUAAAAGCCCCUUACGCGAAAAGGUCAAACGACGAGCUGACACCAGAGUACCGCAGGACACGAGAAAUCCGGUGGGAAGCCGGGAGGACCACCUCCCAAGCCUAAAUACGAAUUGGUGACCGAUAGCGCAUAGUACCGUGAGGGAAAGGUGAAAAGAACCCCGGGAGGGGAGUGAAAAAGAACCUGAAACCCUGUGUUUACAAGCAGUGAAAGUGCGAGCAAGGCACGAUCACGUACUUUUUGUAGAACGGACCGGCGAGUUACGUUAUGCAGCAAGGUUAAGAACUGAAGGUUCGGAGCCGAAGCGAAAGCGAGUCUGAAUAGGGCGAUAGUUGCAUGACGUAGACCCGAAACCGGGUGACCUAUCCAUGAGCAGGUUGAAGUGGAGGUAAAGCUCCAUGGAGGACCGAACCAGACGUCUGUUGAAAAAGGCGGGGAUGACUUGUGGAUAGGGGAGAAAUUCCAAUCGAACCCGGAGAUAGCUGGUUCUCCUCGAAAUAGCUUUAGGGCUAGCCUCAUGGAUCAUUGGUGGGGGUAGAGCACUGAAUGUGCGCGGGGGCCACAAAGCCUACCAAACGCUAUCAAACUACGAAUACCAUACAAUGCAGACCAUGGGAGUCAGUCCGCGAGAGAUAAGUUCCGCGGGCAAAAGGGGAACACCCCAGAUCAACCGCUAAGGUCCCCAAGUUCACGUUAAGUGGAGAAGGAUGUGGAAUUGCACAGACAACCAGGAUGUUGGCUCAGAAGCAGCCACACAUUUAAAGAGUGCGUAAUAGCUCACUGGUCGAGUGAUUGUGCGCCGAAGAUGUCCGGGGCUAAACGUGACACCGAAGCGAUGGGUGCAUCUGAAGAAGAUGCGCGGUAGAGGAGCAAUGUGCAGAGGCGGAAGCCGUAUCGAGAGGCACGGUGGACACUGCACAAGAGAGAAUGCCGGUAUGAGUAGCGAGAGGCAUGCGAGAAACAUGCCCGUCGAAAGCCCAAGGUUUCCUGGGGAAGGUUCAUCCGCCCAGGGUAAGUCGGGGCCUAAGCCGAGGACGGAAGUCGUAGGCGAUGGACAGCAGGUGUAGAUUCCUGCACUACCGAUGGAAUGAAGCAGUGACACAGAAGGAUAACUCGAGCAGGGUGAUGGUCAACCCUGUGCAAGCAUCAAGGUUGGGUUGUAGUGAAGUACGCAAUCCUACAAGCUGAGGUGUGAUGCGGACCGAAAUUUCAGUAGGGAAGCGAGUGAGUUCACGCUGGCGAGAAAAGCUGCUAGUAUAUCCAAAGGUACCCGUACCGGAAACCGACGCAGGUGGGCGAGGAGAGAAUCCUGAGACGAACGGGAGAACCCUUGUUAAGGAACUCGGCAAAAUGACCCCGUAACUUCGGGAUAAGGGGUGCCUGCGAGAGCAGGCCGCAGAGAAUAGUCACAAGCGACUGUUUAGCAAAAACACAGGUAUCUGCGAAAGCGAGAGCUGACGUAUAGGUGCUGACACCUGCCCGGUGCUGGAAGGUUAAGGGAACAUGUUAGAGCAAUCGAAGCAUCGAACCGAAGCCCCAGUAAACGGCGGCCGUAACUAUAACGGUCCUAAGGUAGCGAAAUUCCUUGUCGGGUAAGUUCCGACCCG
This 1965-nucleotide ribosomal RNA is filed under the name human gut metagenome. RNAcentral's name for it is "bacterial LSU rRNA". It matches the Rfam family "Bacterial large subunit ribosomal RNA", at positions 3 to 1990 of the family's 2925-position model. The record is from RNAcentral.